This 292-nucleotide ribosomal RNA is filed under the name uncultured bacterium. RNAcentral describes it as "partial 16S ribosomal RNA". It matches the Rfam family "Bacterial small subunit ribosomal RNA", at positions 505 to 796 of the family's 1533-position model. The record is from RNAcentral.
GUGUCAGCAGCCGCGGUAAUACGGAGGGUGCAAGCGUUGUUCGGAAUUACUGGGCGUAAAGGGCGCGUAGGCGGUCUUUUAAGUCAGAUGUGAAAGUCCUCGGCUCAACCGGGGAAGUGCAUUUGAUACUGAGGGACUUGAGUACUGGAGGGGAUGGUGGAAUUCCCGGUGUAGAGGUGAAAUUCGUAGAUAUCGGGAGGAAUACCGGUGGCGAAGGCGACCAUCUGGCCAGAUACUGACGCUGAGGCGCGAAAGCGUGGGGAGCAAACAGGAUUAGAAACCCCCGUAGUCC